This 1136-nucleotide long non-coding RNA is filed under the name Homo sapiens (human). RNAcentral's name for it is "non-protein coding lnc-LRRC3-3:1". The record is from RNAcentral. Lineage: Eukaryota; Metazoa; Chordata; Mammalia; Primates; Hominidae.
GUGAGUGUGUCUUUAAUGCCAUGGCCUAGUGACCACAGGGAGCUCACAUUGCCUCUGUCAGCCUCUCCUGCUUCCCUGCAGGACAGGAGUGUCCCUCCCAGAUGGGACAGGGGCUGUGGUGUGGGGUGGCUCAAUGCUGCUGGCCACCUGGAUCCUCACACACACUCGGGCGCACACACAGGCACACACACACACUCUCACUCUCCCUGUACACACACACACACAUGCUUACUCUCCCUGUACACACACACACACACGCUCACUCUCCCUGUACACACACAUUCUCCCUGUACACACACACUCUCCCUGUACACACACACACAUGCUCACUCUCCCUGUACACACACACUCUCCCUGUACACACACACACAUGCUCACUCUCCCUGUACACACACGCGCAUGCUCACUCUCCUUGUACACACACUCCCUGUACACACACUCCCUGUACACACACACACGCUCACUCUCCCUGUACACACACAUUCUCCCUGUACACACACACUCUCCCUGUACACACACACACAUGCUCACUCUCCCUGUACACACACACACUCUCCCUGUACACACACACACAUGCUCACUCUCCCUGUACACACACAUUCUCCCUGUACACACACACUCUCCCUGUACACACACACACAUGCUCACUCUCCCUGUACACACACGUGCAUGCUCACUCUCCUUGUGCACACACUCCCUGUACACACACACACACGCUCACUCUCCCUGUACACACACAUUCUCCCUGUACACACACACUCUCCCUGUACACACACACACAUGCUCACUCUCCCUGUAACACACACACACUCUCCCUGUACACACACACACGCUCACUCUCCCUGUACACACACACGCUCACUCUUCCUGUACACACACACACACGCUCACUCUCCCUGUACACACACACACUUGAUCUCACUGCACACACACACCAGCACACACGCUCACACACAUUGUCUUACACACCUGAGCUGGGGACCGAUGAGACUGACCGAUGAGAGUUCAGUGACAGCAAAAUCCUGCAGCCUCGUGACAGGGCUCAGGGAGGGCUGCCUGCCUGGGAGGGGACAGCAGCCAUGGCCUCACGUGGCCAAGGUUGCUAGAGAGGGGGCCUCAGGUCAUCCUCACAUGGG